RNAcentral lists this ribosomal RNA (300 nucleotides) under Triticum aestivum (bread wheat). RNAcentral describes it as "partial small subunit ribosomal RNA". Lineage: Eukaryota; Viridiplantae; Streptophyta; Magnoliopsida; Poales; Poaceae. The record is from RNAcentral.
AUGAAAAUAAUUGGGUUUGCAGCCCGUAAAUGUUGUGAAGCAAAUAACUGUAUAACUGGGAGUUCCUUGGUGGAUAGCUUUGUACUAGUAGAUCACAUGGAUGGCUUUUGGUUCCCAUUGUUUGCCACUCCAGGGGAGCCUAGAUUUACGGAUGAGAACCAAGCAAGUAUAGUUGGUGUGGAUGAUGGGAGUAGAACCAAGCAAGCUAGGAUACAUAUUAGGAUACUGUCAAAAUCAUCCUUUUUUUGCCCAUUCAUUCAGGUAAAAGGUAGUAUUACUACAUAUAAAUGCAAACACUAG